AAAGAAGUACCCAAAAGAAAAAAAUAAAUAAAUAACAAUUGAGAUUAAACGUGACCAUCUGAUUGAUCAGAUGACUCUGAUUCAAUUUAAGAUGACAUGCGCUUAGCUAUUUGAUCAAAGAUCAAUGGCUCAUAAUGGUGGGUUACUACGGGAGAACGCACAUGGGAUCACACUGAAGAUUCAAUCUCAGCACUCAAGUGAGACCACGUAGCCUCAUCUGGUGAACCAAGAAGGAUGCUACUUAAACUUUCUCUCACAUUGAUAUAAUUUAUUUAUGAACUCUC
RNAcentral lists this long non-coding RNA (284 nucleotides) under Lathyrus oleraceus (garden pea). Its description in RNAcentral is "Pisum sativum (pea) long non-coding RNA (PSAT_LNC002341)". The record is from RNAcentral. Lineage: Eukaryota; Viridiplantae; Streptophyta; Magnoliopsida; Fabales; Fabaceae.